Molecule: ribosomal RNA, 2894 nt
Filed under: Triticum aestivum (bread wheat)
Lineage: Eukaryota; Viridiplantae; Streptophyta; Magnoliopsida; Poales; Poaceae
Description: partial small subunit ribosomal RNA
Source: RNAcentral
GGGCUUGAGCUCGUUUCGAACUCGACCAUCGCAAAAUUUCACAUCACAAUAAAAGGCGAGGUAGACUCGAAAAAUUAGGUCAAAAAGUAGGAAGAGAAACGCGAUAGCCCCUCGCCUCGCCGCCGCCGCCGCGCACCGCACCUGCCCUUCCGCCGGCGAAUCCGCGCGUGCCCUAGCCGGAGACCAGGUAUUGGCCCAGAUCUGCCGGCAGCGAUGUCGGGAACCGCGGCCCCACGGUACGCGCCGGACGACCCUACGGUGCCGAAGCCGUGGCGCGGGCUGGUGGACGGCACCACCGGCUACCUCUACUACUGGAAUCCGGAUACCAACGUCACCCAGUACGAGAAGCCCGUGCCGCCGGAAGCUCAGCUCCCGCCGCCCCCGCCUCUCCCGCCUCCUCCUCCGCGCGCCCGCGGCCGGGACCGUCGAGACCGUUCCCGAUCUCGCUCCCGCUCCCGUUCUCGCACACCGCCUCGGCGUGAACACCGGGACCACGACCGCGACCGCGACAGGCGCCGUCACGACGAGCACGACUCUUUCAAGUCGUCGUCGUCCCAUCACCAUCUUCCUCCGGCUGCCACCAUCAUCCCUACAGCCGCAGCUGAUGAUCCAUCAGCUGAAGCAUACCGCCGUCGCCAUGAGAUCACAGUCAUCGGGGAUAACGUGCCGGCUCCCAUAACUGAGUUUGACUCUGGUGUCAUCCCGCUUGAUAUACUCAAGGAGAUACAACGCGCCGGAUUCCCAAGUCCAACGCCUAUCCAAGCCCAGUCCUGGCCAAUUGCCUUGCUCAAUCAAGACGUUGUAGCUAUUGCCAAGACAGGAUCUGGAAAAACUCUCGGGUAUUUGCUUCCUGGGUUUAUGCAUAUAAAGCGUAUGCAGAACAGCACAAGGUCUGGCCCAACAGUGUUAGUUUUGGCACCUACCAGAGAGCUCGCAACACAGAUUUUGGACGAAGCUGUGAAAUUUGGCAGAUCAUCAAGAAUUUCUUCUACGUGCCUUUAUGGCGGUGCUCCUAAAGGGCCCCAGUUAAGAGAUUUAGAAAGAGGGGUUGAUGUUGUUGUUGCAACACCUGGAAGGUUGAACGACAUUCUAGAAAUGCGGAAAAUAAGCCUAAAGCAGGUCUCGUACCUUGUUCUAGACGAGGCUGACCGCAUGCUAGAUAUGGGGUUUGAACCACAAAUACGAAAAAUAGUAAGAGACAUACCUUCUGGUCGGCAAACUCUUAUGUACACUGCUACUUGGCCCAAGGAAGUCCGAAGAAUUGCAGAUGAGCUUCUUGUUCACCCUGUCCAGGUGACCAUUGGAAGUGUGGAUGAGCUUGUUGCUAAUAAAGCUAUUACUCAGCAUGUGGAGGUGGUCACUCCCUCAGAAAAGCUUCGGCGUCUGGAGCAAAUAUUGCGAUCCCAUGAUUCAGGUUCCAAGAUACUAAUAUUCUGUACCACCAAGAGAAUGUGCGACCAACUAUCAAGGACACUCAAUAGGCAAUUUGGAGCGGCUGCCAUUCAUGGUGACAAGUCUCAGAAUGAAAGAGAGAAGGUCCUGAGUCAAUUUAGAUCUGGACGAUCUCCUAUUUUGGUAGCUACAGAUGUUGCGGCACGAGGUUUAGACAUCAAAGAUAUCAGGGUUGUGAUCAACUAUGACUUCCCCACUGGUGUUGAGGACUAUGUUCACAGGAUUGGCAGGACAGGAAGGGCUGGUGCCACUGGUUUGGCCUAUACAUUUUUGUGUGAUCAGGAUUCAAAAUAUGCUGCCGACCUAAUUAAAAUCCUGGAAGGGGCAGACCAAGAUGUUCCUCCUGAACUGUUAGACAUGGUCUCUCGGGGUGGGCGUGGUAGGAAACGUAACAAAUGGGCAACCCGCUCUGAGAGGGGUGGUGGUUCACGCUCUGAACUGGAUUCAAGGUAUGGUGGCAGGUUAGAGGGUAGUCGCGGUGGACGUGGAAAGGAUGAUUAUGGUGGCCGUGGCAGGAAUGAUUACGGCGGGUCUCGCAGGUCUGCUAGAGGUCGCAGCAGAAGCCUUAGCAGGAGUGACAGUGAUAGGCGCAGCCCAAGCCCCAAGAGACGGCGCCAUGAUGUGCAGGCUAGCCGUAGCAGGACUAGAAGUCGGAGCCGGAGCAGGAGCCGGAGCAGGAGCAGAAACAAGAGCAGGAACAGGAGCCGGAGCAGGAGUUACACUAGGAAUCGUCGUGCUAGCCGCAGCAGGAGUCGUAGCCCUGGCGCUAGACGUAAGACUGAAAGAAGAGCUGGCUCUGGGUCUACACGUCCUGACUCUGCCCACCCAGUGGAGAAGAAAAGCUCACCCAAUGCUCACCCUUCAAAUGACCACAAGAGCCGCAGUGUCGACCCUUCAAAUGACUAUCAGGCGGAGGAUGGGAAGAUGGGAAAGGUUGAUCUGGAUCGGUCGCCUAGUCUGCAGGAGCAGGAUGACAAGUCUGCUCCAUAUAGUCCUGUGUAUAAUGGCGAAGGAGGCAGGGGGUCAAUGAGCCCUAAUGGCGAGCCAGUGGUGGAUGCUAAACCUGUGGAAGUCUUUGUGAGCAGCAAGAAGAGGGAGGAUGAAGAGGAAGGUAUGAUAGAUGAAGAGGGAGAGGAGGGUAUGAUAGCCGAUGAUGACCCUCGCGCAAUUGCAGCUGUGCAGAACGGUGAUGAUAAGUGACAAGGCUUUGAACGAUGAAUUUGCUAUUCUACGAACAAUCCAUGUUAAAUUUUUUAUGAUUGAGCUGUUGUUUGUUAUGUAACAUUGAGCUUUCAUUUGCUGUUUGUUAUGAACCAGAGUCCAAGAUCGUUGUUUGUUAUGUCGACUUGUUUGAACAGCAAUUCUUUUUGUUGAUUUAUUGUGCCAUUUGGCCAACUGCUUUGGAGAGUGUGGGCUCGAUGGUCCUCACUGAGUGCUUCCAG